UCUACCAUUUAGGAGAGGGCUUUGGGCUGAAAUAAAGAUCUGGAGUCAUCAGAAACACGCAAUGGCAGGAGCCAUCAGCUAGUGGAAGAGCAACAACAGACUCAGAAGGAAAGAAGCAGAGGAUGAAGGCUGAAGAAUACUACUAUUUAAAAGAUGGAGUUAUUAAAAAGCCAUUAAUGGAAGCUGAGGAAUGAGGAGAGACAGAGAAGGAAAGCCAGGAGACGGUGGUCUCUCAGGAAGACCAGAAGGAGCAUUUCAAGAAGGAAGGAGAGACUAAGCCUGAGCGCUACAGAAACACCAACUUGAGGCCUGCAACGGGAGGAGGCAUUUUGAUGAUUUCAUGGCGGGGCAGGAGUGAGUUUCACCUGGUUUCCUAAACUCUAUACAACGUUGCGGUUUGCCUUGUCCAAAGAGACUGUCUUACAAGCAGGGCUCUUUUCUGCUUACCAAAAAUAACAAGAACGCUUUUCAUUUCAGAUGCUGAGUGGUGUGCCCUCUUCAAAACCUCUCACCUCCCAGGAACUUCACUGUGUAGGGGGGAGGUUUUGGUUUUGUUUUUUUGAAAGAUGAAAGAGACUUGAGAAUAUUUAUAUUCUGAUCAGAGGAAGCCAGUAGCAAGGGAGAGGCUGUAGCUACAGGCACAGAAGGGUUAGCUGUGCGAACAAGGUUCUGUAAGGGGGAGAAUCUGGAGAGCAGGUGGUGAGAACCCCUCUCGCACUGAGGUGGAUCUGAGCAGACAUGUCAGUUGCAUCGCAUGGUUGGUGCUGUGUGUGUGCUGUGUGUGUGCAGUGUGUGUGUCAACAUGUGCGCUCAUUCCUCCUGACAUCUAUUUUCUGUCAGUAACAGAUUUCUGGAAACAACUAGGGGCCUAGCUGAGAAGGUGAUCCCAGGAGGCUGCAAGUUAAUGCUGAGCUUCUGAUGCUGUUAGACGUGUGACAUGAAUGUCAAGAGCUCUUCAGAAACCAAGGAAAGUUGAAGAUUCCUGCACUCAGUCAUGGAA
Long non-coding RNA from Camelus dromedarius (Arabian camel), 1000 nucleotides. RefSeq lists it as uncharacterized. The record is from RefSeq and is a predicted model, not a curated record. NCBI's taxonomy places the organism in Eukaryota, Metazoa, Chordata, Mammalia, Artiodactyla, Camelidae. The transcript has 3 exons.